This 804-nucleotide unclassified non-coding RNA is filed under the name Hevea brasiliensis (rubber tree). The record is from RNAcentral. Lineage: Eukaryota; Viridiplantae; Streptophyta; Magnoliopsida; Malpighiales; Euphorbiaceae.
UCAUUCCUAGUCAGCUCGGAUUACAAAAAGCUCUACGAAUUCGUCGAGAAAGAGGGCAGAGAGGUCGUGAAGCUGGCCGAGGAAGAAUACGGUCUAACGAAAUCCGACUCCAUCAACAACAUUCUGUUUGUUCUUGGGUUUAAUGCGUUCGGAGGUUUCUCAGUGUUCUUGCCCACACUAAUCACAACAGUCGGGAGGGAUAAAUCUGGACUGCGCGACAGAUUGAGAGCAGAGGUGCGGAGUGUGAUGGCAGACAAAACAGAGCUCGAUUUCAAAGCUGUGGUGGAGAUGGAGCUGGUGCGGUCGACAGUGUACGAGGUUCUGCGAAUGAACCCGCCGGUGCCGCUGCAGUACGGGCGAGCGAGGUCUGACUUUGUGGUGAAUUCACAUGAGUCGAGCUACAAAGUCGAGAAGGGCGAGCUGCUCUGUGGGUACCAGCCGCUGGUGAUGCGGGAUCCGGUGGUGUUUGAUGACCCUGAUACGUUCAUGCCGGACAGGUUUACAGGUGUGAAAGGGAAGGAGCUGUUGCAGUAUCUGUUUUGGUCGAAUGGGCCGGAGACGGCGACGCCGACGGCCGGAAACAAGCAGUGCGCGGCUAAGGAUUUUGUCGUGUUUACUGCGUGUAUGCUCGUGGCUCAGAUUCUCAACAAGUAUGAUGAAUUUGAGUGUGACGAUGGAAAUUUGGCCUUCAGUAAGCUGAAGAAGAAGACGGAGAGCGUGAUUGUCUAGUCGCUUUAAGUUUAAUUAUCUUCCAGUUCACUGUUUCGAUAUUGUUGUUUUGUUCGGUAAGAAACUGUUGUUGAG